This is a long non-coding RNA of Sardina pilchardus (European sardine), 344 nucleotides long. RefSeq lists it as uncharacterized. The transcript is spliced from 3 exons. Lineage: Eukaryota; Metazoa; Chordata; Actinopteri; Clupeiformes; Clupeidae. The record is from RefSeq and is a predicted model, not a curated record.
GAGCCCUCAGAAAUAAACUGAUAUCAAUAAUUAAUAUGGAUGGUGAUUGUGGCAAGGGUGCCUCCAUAAGGUGCCAUCCAGAAGUCCCAGCCUGGAGCCAGUGGCUGCUAUUGCAAGACUCAUGGGAGAUGAUCUGCAGGCAAAGCUGCGAUUAGACACUUGACAUUUACUGCGAAAGGUACCAUCAGAGCACCUCUCCCUACCCUGCAGGAUAUCUAUACCAGAAAAGUACAACAACGGCCCAAAACUAUUUCCAAAAGACAUUUCACACCCUGACCAUGGACUGUUUAAACCACUGAGGUCAAGCAGACGUCUCUGUUCCCACAUGGCUAAAACAGAAAGGA